AGGUAGAGGAGGGCUUGCAGGC
RNAcentral lists this microRNA (22 nucleotides) under Gallus gallus (chicken). RNAcentral describes it as "gga-miR-1611 (MIR1611)". Lineage: Eukaryota; Metazoa; Chordata; Aves; Galliformes; Phasianidae. The record is from RNAcentral.